CCUACGGGAGGCAGCAGUGAGGAAUAUUGGUCAAUGGACGCAAGUCUGAACCAGCGACGCCGCGUGAGUGAAGAAGUAUUUCGGUACGUAAAGCUCUAUCAGCAGGAAAGAAAAUGACGGUAUCUGACUAAGAAGCCCCGGCUAACUACGUGCCAGCAGCCGCGGUAAUACGUAGGGGGCAAGCGUUAACCGGAUUUACUGGGUGUAAUGGGAGCGUAGACGGCAGCGCAAGUCAGUAGUGAAAUGCCGUGUCGCAACCCCGGAACUGCUCUGGAGACGGUGAAGCUAGAGUGCUGGAGAGGUAAGCGGAAUUCCUGGUGUAGCGGUGAAAUGCGUAGAUAUCAGGAGGAACACCAGCGGCGAAGGCGACUUACUGGAAUGUAACUGACGUUGAGGCUCGAAGGCGUGGGGAGCAAACAGGAUUAGAUACCCCAGUAGUC
Molecule: ribosomal RNA, 440 nt
Filed under: uncultured bacterium
Lineage: Bacteria
Description: partial 16S ribosomal RNA
Rfam family: Bacterial small subunit ribosomal RNA
Source: RNAcentral